Thamnophis elegans (Western terrestrial garter snake) is the source of this 218-nucleotide long non-coding RNA. RefSeq lists it as uncharacterized. NCBI's taxonomy places the organism in Eukaryota, Metazoa, Chordata, Lepidosauria, Squamata, Natricidae. The record is from RefSeq and is a predicted model, not a curated record. The transcript is spliced from 2 exons.
UACUGCUUGUUUUAUUAGAAUUGCCAAACAGACUAUUUGCUUAUCAUUGUGUGGCACAAAUUCAACCAGAAUGUAAGUGCCAUUGCAGAGCCUGGAGCCUCUCCUAGACCUCUGUUCCUAGAUAACCAAGAUCCAGACUGACUAAAAAAAAUAACUAUAAAAUUAUAAAUGGAGACCAAUAUCGGGAUCGGUAACAUAAAUUUGAUACAAAGUACCAA